This 649-nucleotide ribosomal RNA is filed under the name uncultured bacterium. RNAcentral describes it as "bacterial SSU rRNA". The stretch from base 1 to 537 matches the Rfam family "Bacterial small subunit ribosomal RNA", at positions 338 to 873 of the family's 1533-position model. The record is from RNAcentral.
CCUACGGGAGGCAGCAGUGAGGAAUAUUGGACAAUGGGCGCAAGCCUGAUCCAGCCAUGCCGCGUGCAGGAAGACGCAUCUAUGGUGUGUAAACUGCUUUUGUACGGGAAGAAACACUCCCUCGUGAGGGAGCUUGACGGUACCGUAAGAAUAAGGAUCGGCUAACUCCGUGCCAGCAGCCGCGGUAAUACGGAGGAUCCAAGCGUUAUCCGGAAUCAUUGGGUUUAAAGGGUCCGUAGGCGGUUUAAUAAGUCAGUGGUGAAAGCCCAUCGCUCAACGAUGGAACGGCCAUUGAUACUGUUAGACUUGAAUUACUAGGAAGUAACUAGAAUAUGUAGUGUAGCGGUGAAAUGCUUAGAUAUUACAUGGAAUACCAAUUGCGAAGGCAGGUUACUACUAGUGGAUUGACGCUGAUGGACGAAAGCGUGGGGAGCGAACAGGAUUAGAUACCCUGGUAGUCCACGCCGUAAACGAUGGAUACUAGCUGUUGGGCGCAAAGUUCAGUGGNGUAGAGAAGUAGAGUAAGUAAGUACCACCGUCGGGAGGUAACGGUUCGUCGAAGAAAGUAGUUAAACGUUAAACGUAAGUUAAGUUAGUUAGGACGGUUCGAGAGACGACGACGGACGACGACCGACGGGAAGGGAGGAGG